CUCUGUCACAUUUUAUCCUAAGCACCAGCCAUCGUUUGAGAUUCUCAAGAAGUUUCAAUUCUGCAUCUUGCCGUUGCAACAAUGCUUCAUGGGAACUUUUACCUUGGAGGCUAGAAGAGAAUCCCAUCUAAACAAACAAAGCUGCUCAUUUCACUUAGAACUCCUCCGUCAUGAGUUCCUUUCAGCAUGGAUGUUGAAUUCAAAGGGUGAUGGCUAAAGGAAAUAUGUCCGACACUUGAUUAAAAAUUCACGCCCGAAGCGAUAGUUGGCUCUUCAAUCAGGUGUGUUGGGUACACCUUUUACAAAACUUGGCUGCUGCUGCUGCAAGAGAGAGAGAGACUAUAUAAAACACUCCGGACGACAAACCUUUUUGGCUAGCGGCUUCGCAAUAAAAACUUCCCCGAUAAAAUGCACACAACAGCUCUACAUACGUAAUCCCAACGCCCACAACUCACAACCAAAGAGAGAUAAAAAUGUGAAUGUUGUGUGCUCACCUGCAAUGAUGACAACAAAACCCGCAUCUGGGAUUGGCCUGCCGUAAGCUAUGUUUUUUUUUCCUGCUUUUUUUUAUCUAUGUAAUUUCGCUGCCAUCUAUUAAGUUUCUCUUGAAGCUCGAUUACAAUGAAUAAGUGACCGAAACCGGAGGUAUCCAGAAGAA
Molecule: long non-coding RNA, 658 nt
Organism: Daphnia pulex (common water flea)
Lineage: Eukaryota; Metazoa; Arthropoda; Branchiopoda; Diplostraca; Daphniidae
Exons: 2
Source: RefSeq, a predicted model, not a curated record